CUGCUGAUGCACACUCAACAAAGAGGAAAGUGACACCACAGCUCCUGUCACUCCCUUUACAAGCCCCCCUCCCGCCCCUUGUUCAUUAGCCUUCCAUUAAGGGACUAGCCAAGGCCCCUCGCUGCCCCCUCCCUGGUGGAGUCACUGCUCCAUUAUGUGACUCUUCACGUGGAUCUUGGAGUGAUGGCAAUUCUUCAACAUUGCUCAUUUUCGGAAAACUGGUUGUUAAACAUUUACUGAAGGGAAUACAGAGCGAGUUUAAAUAGUUACUAAAUGGACCUGAGGAUCUAGACAUGAAAAGGACCUAAUCGAUCAUCUAAUCCAGCCUCCUCAUUUUUGGCUUGAAGAAAUUGAAGAUCAGAAAUAUUUGCUGCCUUUUUUUCAGGUCACACACAUAGUAAGUAAAAGUGCUGUGAUUUGAACCCAGGCUGCCAAAGUCCUAAUUAAUGUCUCUUUCCACAGUACCAUCCUGUUUCAUUUCGUUUGUACAAAAAUAGUCCAGAAUUGUAUACAGUAUGAUUUGUUGUGGGUCUAUACUUCUAUUUUUAUUCAAAGAUAUUUUAUUUUCCCAAUUACAUGUAAUAAUUAUCAACAUACAUUUUCUGAAAUUAUAAGAUCCAAAUUGUCUUCCUUCCUCUUUUCCCUCCCCUCCUCCAGGAGAGAGAUGGUAAACAAUUUGAUCUGGGUUAUAUAUGUAUUAUCAGGCAUAACAUAUUUCCAUAUUGGCCAUUGUUGUAAGAGAAUACUCAUAUAAAAUCAAAACAUCAAAAUAAAACCAUAAAUAAACUUUAAAAUGUGAAAGAUA
Monodelphis domestica (gray short-tailed opossum) is the source of this 805-nucleotide non-coding RNA. The record is from RefSeq and is a predicted model, not a curated record. Lineage: Eukaryota; Metazoa; Chordata; Mammalia; Didelphimorphia; Didelphidae.